Molecule: ribosomal RNA, 253 nt
Filed under: uncultured bacterium
Lineage: Bacteria
Description: partial 16S ribosomal RNA
Rfam family: Bacterial small subunit ribosomal RNA
Source: RNAcentral
UACGGAGGAUCCAAGCGUUAUCCGGAUUCAUUGGGUUUAAAGGGUGCGUAGGCGGAAUGAUAAGUCAGUGGUGAAAUCUCUCGGCUUAACCGAGAAACUGCCAUUGAUACUGUCAAUCUUGAGUACAUUUGAUGUGGGCGGAAUGUGUCAUGUAGCGGUGAAAUGCUUAGAUAUGACACAGAACACCGAUUGCGAAGGCAGCUCACAAAACUGUAACUGACGCUGAGGCACGAAAGCGUGGGGAGCAAACGGG